Molecule: unclassified non-coding RNA, 376 nt
Filed under: uncultured Actinomycetes bacterium
Lineage: Bacteria; Bacillati; Actinomycetota; Actinomycetes
Description: uncultured actinobacterium contains 16S-23S intergenic spacer region
Source: RNAcentral
UCCGAGUUGACCCCGGCAGUCUCUCUAGAGUCCCCGACAUAACUCGCUGGCAACUAGAGACGGGGGUUGCGCUCGUUGCGGGACUUAACCCAACACCUCACGGCACGAGCUGACGACAGCCAUGCAACACCUAUCGCAGGCCCUUACGGACACCGCGUUUCCGCGGCUUUUCCUGCGUAGUUCAGCCCAGGUAAGGUUCUUCGCGUUGCGUCGAAUUAAACCACAUGCUCCGUUGCUUGUGCGGGUCCCCGUCAAUUCCUUUGAGUUUUAGCCUUGCGGCCGUACUCCCCAGGCGGGGCACUUAAUGCGUUAGCUGCGGCACGGGAGGAGUCGACACCUCCCACACCUAGUGCCCAUCGUUUACGGCGUGGACUAC